AUAGCGUAUAUUAAAGUUGUUGCAGUUAAAAAGCUCGUAGUUGAACUUCAGACCUGGCCGGGCGGUCAGCUUAACGGCGUGUACUGUCCGGCUGGGCCUUACCUCUUGGUGAGCCGGUGUGCCCUUUAUUGGGUGCGUUGGGGAACCAGGACUUUUACCUUGAGAAAAUUAGAGUGUUCAAAGCAGGCCUAUGCCCGAAUACAUUAGCAUGGAAUAAUAAAAUAGGACGUGUGGUUCUAUUUUGUUGGUUUCUAGAGUCGCCGUAAUGAUUAAUAGGGAUAGUUGGGGGCAUUGGUAUUGAGUCGCUAGAGGUGAAAUUCUUGGAUUGACUCAAGACCAACUAUUG
Molecule: ribosomal RNA, 346 nt
Filed under: uncultured eukaryote
Lineage: Eukaryota
Description: SSU rRNA
Rfam family: Eukaryotic small subunit ribosomal RNA
Source: RNAcentral